Molecule: non-coding RNA, 111 nt
Organism: Acanthosepion pharaonis
Lineage: Eukaryota; Metazoa; Mollusca; Cephalopoda; Sepiida; Sepiidae
Source: the annotation of a GenBank genome assembly
CGGCCGAAUCACGUUGAAACACCGAUUCCCAUACGAUCACCGAAGUUAAGCAACGUCGAGCCUGGUGAGCACCCAGAUAGGUGACCACAUGGUAAUACCAGUUGCUGUAAG